CAUUAAAAUACGAGUGUGGGCUUAUGAAACGAAUGAAAUGAGUUUCAUAAUAGUAUCACACGAGUGUUUUGAUGCCUAAUUAUGUACAGUUACAUACACUGCUUUAUCUACACACAUAUUAUAUACUUUCUAUGAUAUAUAUCAUUCACUAACCUCAUAUUACAGCCGACAUUAGGGCACUUUCCUCUCUGGCGGAACUCGCGGAUAUGAGGUGGCGUCUCCGAAAUAUCUUUAUCGCACAUUUUACACGAAACUUUUGUUAUAGUUACUUUUAAAAACAACAAAACAAAUUAUUUUUUACUUAAAAACUAAUUAAAAGAUAAACUGUACGUCGAAUGGCGGCAAAUGAAAACUUUUUUCACGCACGUCACGCAUCUGUAGUUUUCUUUUUAAUUCAGAGACAAACUAGAGUCGGGGUCGAUUACCAUAUCGUCGGAAACCAACUUACAUGCGAGAUCUGUCAAUGAUUUCGAAUAAAACGUCAUCUCGACUGAUAUUAGAAUAGGGGUCAAAUCAAAUUGCUUUUUUUUCAGAGAUGUUCGAAAUUUGAAUGCAUUACCAAAUCGAUUUUGAUAUAGUAAUGAAGCUAUUACCACAUUUUCACAGAUAAGAAAUUUGCUGUAACAAAACAGUUUAUCGUAAUGGGGGCUAUUAUUUACGGAUUUUGAAGGCAUCAUAGAGAGUUUAUGAUAUGUGUGUAGAUAAAAAUAAUUUUCAAAAUCGAUCCCGAAAUGACGGAGAUAUCAAACAUUAAAAAACCGAAUUAAUACCUCCUUUUUAGGGUUCCGUAGCCAAAUGGCAAAAAACGGAACCCUUAUAGAUUCGUCAUGUCUGUCUGUCUGUCCGUCCGUAUGUCACAGCCACUUUUUUCCGAAACUAUAAGAACUGUUGAAACUUGGUAAGUAGAUGUAUUCUGUGAACCGCAUUAAGAUUUCAACACAAAAAUAGAAAAAAAAAAACAAUAAAUUUUGGGGGUCCCCCAUACUUAGAACUGAAACUUAAAAUGUCUUUUUCAUUAAACCCAUACGUGUGGGGUAUCUAUGGAUAGGUCUUCAAAAAUGAUAUUGAGGUUUCUAAUAUCAUUUUUUUUCUAAACUGAAUAGUUUGCGCGAGAGACACUUCCAA
Long non-coding RNA from Cydia fagiglandana, 1125 nucleotides. RefSeq lists it as uncharacterized. The record is from RefSeq and is a predicted model, not a curated record. NCBI's taxonomy places the organism in Eukaryota, Metazoa, Arthropoda, Insecta, Lepidoptera, Tortricidae. The transcript is spliced from 2 exons.